Molecule: ribosomal RNA, 774 nt
Filed under: uncultured Neocallimastigales
Lineage: Eukaryota; Fungi; Neocallimastigomycota; Neocallimastigomycetes; Neocallimastigales
Description: partial large subunit ribosomal RNA
Rfam family: Eukaryotic large subunit ribosomal RNA
Source: RNAcentral
CGCAUCUGUGCAUGCAGCAUAUCAAUAAGCGGAGGAAAAGAAACUAACAAGGAUUCCCCUAGUAACGGCGAGUGGAGCGGGAAGAGCUCAAAUUUGAAAUCUUAAAGGGUUUCCCUUUACGAAUUGUAGUUUAAAGAAGUGUUUUCUGUUGAGGUUUUGGUAAAAGUUCUUUGGAAGUAGGACAUCAUAGAGGGUGAGAAUCCCGUAUUUGACCUUUACUUUCAACUUUGUGAUACACUUUCAAAGAGUCGGAUUGUUUGGGAAUGCAGUCCAAAAUGGGUGGUAAAUUUCAUCUAAAGCUAAAUAUUGGCGAGAGACCGAUAGCGAACAAGUACCGUGAGGGAAAGAUGAAAAGAACUUUGAAAAGAGAGUUAAACAGUACGUGAAAUUGUCAAAAGGGAAGCGUUUGACACCAGUGUUGUUCUUCUGAAAAUCAAUUAAAGAACUGUUUAUGCUAAGUUGUUUAGACUUUAUCAGCUAUCUGCUUAGUUUUGAGCUUUUCUUUAAUGCACUUUCAGUUAACAAGUCAACAUCAAUUUCUUUUGCUGUAAAAAAGCUUGAGGAAGGUGGCUUGAGAUUCGUCUUAAGUGUUUAUAGCCUCUUGCCUAUGCAGUCGGAGAGAUUGAGGUCUGCAGCGUAGAUCCUUCGGGGCUAAAUGCAUUUGUGCUAAGUUAUAGCAUUUUAUAGACAACUUGUUGACUAUGAUUUGUCUUGUAGCUUACUCGCUUAUGUUAUUUUACCUACGCUUAGGAUGUUGAGUCGUAGAGCACGCAG